AAGACGCUAGUAUAACAUAGUACCCUGCCUUGUCAAGGCAGAAUUGUGGGUUAAAACCCCGCGCAUCUUG
RNAcentral lists this transfer RNA (70 nucleotides) under Crystallogobius linearis (crystal goby). RNAcentral's name for it is "tRNA-Asp". It matches the Rfam family "tRNA". From Rfam's summary of the family: Transfer RNA (tRNA) molecules are approximately 80 nucleotides in length. The record is from RNAcentral. Lineage: Eukaryota; Metazoa; Chordata; Actinopteri; Gobiiformes; Gobiidae.